Molecule: unclassified non-coding RNA, 5833 nt
Filed under: Leishmania donovani
Lineage: Eukaryota; Euglenozoa; Kinetoplastea; Trypanosomatida; Trypanosomatidae
Description: gene:LdHU3.31.2120(CDS-product:pentamidine_resist ance_protein_1)
Source: RNAcentral
CUGUGUCACACGCACACCCCUCCCCAUCUCUCGCCUCUCCGCUGCUGCUGCUGCAGUGGCGGGUGCACCUAUCAAACGUUUCGACUUGUGUCGCGCGCGGUGACAGAACCCCGUCUUUCCCUCCGCCUCAUGUCCUGCGGCGGUCUCAGUUAGGCCGUAACGCAUCCCUUCAGCAUCCUGGCGUGCUCUCGCCUUUUUUUGUUGUUUUUACUUUGCCCCGUUUGCUCUGUUUCCUGAGACCGCUGUUGCGUGACUAUAACUCACUCACUCACUAUAUACCCAUAUCUAUAUAUAUAUAUCUAUAUAUAUAUAUAUAUAUAUAUAUAUAUAUAGGCACAUGUAUAACUGUACGUAUACCGAUAUAUAUAUAUAUAUAUAUGCAUAUCUGCUCAUCUAUAUAAACGUAUUUGGCAGACCUAUCCGAGCUCUACACGCGCACAAACGUGCAGCCACACGCGGGUGGGACUGCUCGGCGAUCAACUCCGCUAAGAGCCACUCAAGCAGUCUAUACUGGCGGCGAACGUUUGUAGCGUCGGCUCUUCGUCAUUUCUUGCACUCGCUGCUCGACAAUUUGCCUUGGCGCUGCCCAUAGGAGCAACACCUUGUCCCUGUUCUACUGCGGCGCAUAUGGUCGAAUCCUCCUCCGCGUCGCCGUCAUCGCUGCUCGCGGGGGCAGCAGAGGCGAUCGCCUUCCCACCGUCUGCUGCAGAGCGUGACCUCGAGGAGUUUGAGGAGCGCGAUAGGGAGCAGCAGAUCUCCCGCUCCCUAUGGGCACAGCGAGUUAGCGACUUGUGGGGCACGGAACCGCCUUACGAGGAGCAGCCGGAGGACCGCUCUGGCUGGAUUUUCGGCUCGCUCUUCUAUCAGUGGAUUGGGCACUACAUCCGAGAGGCUUCACGGGAACAGCUGACAGAAAGCGGGCUGCCAAAGCCAACGAGACAGUAUCGCGCCUACAACGCUGGCGUCGCGCUGUCGGCGGAGCUGCAGCGCCAGCGAGCGCGCCGCCAUGCGUGGGACGGCUACGUCGGCGCGCGCGUCGGCGUGCGCUGGGACGACGCCAGCGACGGCGUGCUGCGCUGGGUGGGCGCGGUGCAGCAGUACGGCACGCCGGGGCGGCUGUACGCGGGCGUGGAGUGGCGCGUGGCCCCGUCGCGGCGCCGUGGCUGCUGCGUUCGGCGCUGCAUGGGGUGGCUGCUGUGCCGCGGAUGCAGCGCCCCUGUCCCGGAGCAGGGUCCCGGCGCGUAUCACCGCGGCGAGGUGGAUGGCGAGCACCUGUUCGACCCCGUGGAAGACGACACGGUGCUGACGUGCGAGCGAGUCGAGGACGUUGUGUUUCGCCUGGGAUUGCGGGAUGACGCAAGCCAGGUCUCAUCCACGCGAGCGUUGCUAAAGGAGCUACCGGAGUCCGCGCAGCAGUGUCCCCACCCCAUUCAGGUGUGGUGGGCAGUGUGGACGCUCUUCCGCCAAAGCAUAAUGCACGUUGUUGUUCUCGGCAUCAUCCGAAACGGAUGCCAGCUGAUGACUCCUCUCUUGUUGAAGUGGUUUGUGGCGUACCUCGGUGGCGUAGGCGAGCGCAAAGGUCGGAGCGAGGCCGGGCUCACAGCCACCAUUACUUCCCCCGUUUCUUCAUUAGAUUUUUCUUUGCGUGGGUGCAUCGUGUCAGCAGUGCAGGCUCACCCGGCAUCGGCUGGCAGCGCGGAGUAUGGCUUGCGGCGCUCAUGUUCGUCACCAUGGUUGGAGAGACGCUUGCUGGCAACAAGCAGUACCACGUGCGCCGUCGUAGCUCUCUGCAGGUGCGCAACGCCCUUUCGGCCGCUCUGUUUGAGAAGGUCUUCACCAUGUCCCCAAAGGCGACUCACCAUCCCGCUUUCAACGCGGGGCGGCUGACAAAUUUGAUGAGUACUGAUGUGGAGGUGAUGGGUCGGUUCAUUAUGAUGUUUUGGACGCUGGCCUCCACCCCGUUCAUGCUGGCCAUAGUCUUCUACCAGCUCUAUGUGUUGCUGGGUGCGAGUGUGUGCGUCGGCGGAGUGGUGGCACUUGUAUUCAUGCCCCUGCAAGCCUACAUGGUGCGAAAGAUGAGCUCAAGCUACCGCCGCAAAGCCCAGGCAACGGAUCACCGCGUCAAGGCUACGACUGAGUUUUUCUCCGGCAUCCGUGUCGCCAAGUUUAUGUCGUGGGAACCGUUUUUCAUCCGCCGCAUCGAGAAGCUGCGCAGCGUGGAGCUCUCGCACCUCAAGAAGUUGCAGCAGGCCAUCAUGAUGGUCUUCUUCCAGUUCAACGCGACGCCGGGCUUCGUCAUUGCCAGCGUCUUCUUCACGUUCAGCGUGACCGGCCACACCCUAACGCCCACUAUUGUUUUCCCAGCCAUUGCGCUGUUCAACCUGCUUAUGGGCCUCGUCUCCAUGUUACCGUUUGCACUGCAGCUCAUGACGAAGCUAUUCGUCUCGCUCCGGCGCUUGAAUAUGUUCUUCGACGCCGACGAUGAGCUGGUGCCGGCCGUCGAAGACAUUCCCCUCGCAGCGAGUCGUGCGAUGCCCACGGACGUCUCCCGGGCAGCAGGUGCCGGCGACGCCCAGCAGCAGACACCGUCAUUCAUUCUAAUUCAUGACGUUGCAGCCGAGUUUGUGCACGCAGACCUCAGCACAUAUGUCGCUCAAGAGCUUAAGAAAACGGAUGGCGCACUGGAGGCAAAUAGCGCCGGAGACGGCGCUGCCGAUCGCGCACCGCUACCCGAAGCAGAAGCUUUCCUGCCAGAUCGCCAGCCCUCAUCCUCAUCUGCAGCGCCAGCUCCAGCAGGUCCAGUGACGAACCCUUGAACGCUAAGGGCAGUCAUACAGGCCACGGAGACGCUGCCGCUUCCUCAGAGCCCUUGUCGUCGUCUGCCCAGAAAAGCACCGCUGAAAUAACCUUCAACGAGGACUCCAUCUACGUUCUAAAGACAAAGACGCUGCUGGCGGAUGUGGACCUGCGCGUGCCGCGCGGGCGGCUGACGGUGGUGCUGGGGCCGACGGGCAGCGGCAAGUCCACGCUGCUGGACGCACUGAUCGGCGCGCUGGCGGUGACGCGCGGCCGCGUGGCGUGCUCGCGCAGCGUGGCCUACGUGCCGCAGCAGCCGUGGAUCAUGAACGCAACGCUGCGCGACAACGUCAUCUUCUUCGGCGCGCCGGACGCGGCGGCCUUCGAGCGCGCGGUGCGCAGCAGCCAGCUGGCCUCGGACCUGGCGCUGCUGGCGGACGGCCGGAGACGACGAUCGGCGAGAACGGCAUCAACCUGAGCGGCGGGCAGAAGGCGCGCGUGAGUCUAGCGCGCGCCGUGUACGCGGACCGCGACGUGUACUUGCUGGACGACCCGCUGUCGGCACUGGACGCGCAGGUGGGCGAGCGCGUGAUGCGCGAGUGCGUGUGCGGCGCGCUGGCCGGCAAGACGCGCGUGCUGGCCACUCACCAGGUCAGCGCCGCCGCCUACGCGGACUACGUCGUCGUGCUCGCUGCCGACGGCCGCGUCGCGUUCCAAGGGAGUGGUGAGGCCUACUACAAGGAUCACCUAGCGCGGCAAGUGAGCCAACGCGGCGCCGCAUCCAGUGAUGACACUGAGGGGGCUGCAGAGAAGGAAGCACCCGUGGCGAACAUCACAGCAGAGAAGAAGUUGAGUGAUUUGAUGGAGGAAGAGCCUCCGGCAGCGGACACUACGUUGACAGCUGUCUCAGAGGUGGAGGGGCGCGCCAUAGAAAACAAAGGAAAGCUGCUGACGGAAGAGGAGCGCUUCCGGGGAGGGGUGGGGUGGGACGUGUACGUGCGUUACAUGAAGGCGUGCGGCGGCGUCGGCGCGUGUGUGAGUAUCAUGGCACUCUAUCUCGCUACGGAGGUGGUCAUGAUGUCGACUUCCAUAUGGCUGGCGCUGUGGUCCACCAAGUGGCUUCCGCUAUCCGCGACGCAGUACAGUUUCAUCUACGUCGGCCUUUCCUUUGCCAGCGCGCUGGCAACGCCACUCCGCUACUGGCUUUCCAUGAGCAUGAUGCGGCGAGCCAGUCGGGAGGUGCACCAGGAGCUCCUCCGCUCCGUGGCGUGCGCCACGCUGCAGUUUUUUGACACGACGCCGCUCGGCCGCAUUGUCAACCGUUUUACCAAUGACAUGAGCAAUAUCGACAGCGACCUGCAAGGCAGCUACAGCUAUCUCCUCUCCACCAUCUCCACGUUCUUCUCGACCGUGGCGAUGAUGGUGGCAACGCAAGUUUUCGUGCUUGGUAUCCUUAUACCCUGCAUGGUGGCGUACUACUACCUUCUGAAAUUCUACGCACGCGCCAACCGCGAGAUCAAGCGCCUAGUGAAUCGAGUCAACUCCCCAAUGCUUUCUGUCCUGCAGGAAGCGAUUGGCGGUCGUUGGACGGUGCAAGCGUACGGCGCGGCGCCGGCGGUGAUCCAGAAGGCUCUUCAAUGUGCAGAUGUCGUCUACACCUGCUCGUAUCUGCAACUCGGCGCGGAACUCUGGCUUUCUGUGCGUAUCCAGAUGCUGAGCGCGUCCAUUACUGUCGCCGUGGCACUGGGCGCCGUCGCGGCCAUGCACCUCUCGUUUCUGCCGUCGCACAUCGGCCUUCUCUCCCUCAGUCUCACCCUGGCCCUCGAGAUCAGCAGCCUCCUGGACGGCAUCGUCACUGUGCUCGCCUCCGUGGAGGCAGAUAUGAACAGCAUUGAACGCGUCUUUUAUAUGACAGACCACAUUGAGCAUGAGGACCUGCAGGAGGCCGUCGCAGCGGAGGUUCAGCGCAUCACCGAGGGUGCGCACGGCCCUGAGCGACGUUGUGCAGAGACCUUGGCAGAGAGUGAGGAGCCUUCUGGCCUGGAUAACUGGAGCUCGCCGCUUCUCAUCCGUCAAUCAGGCAACACCCAGUUCGGAGCGCUUGUGCUGGAGCACGUGGACAUGCGGUACCGGCCGGGGCUGCCGCUGGUGCUGCGCGACGUGUGCUUCGCGGUGGCGCCGGGGCAGAAGGUGGGCGUUGUGGGGCGCACCGGUAGCGGGAAGUCGACGCUGCUGCUGGCCUUCCUGCGGCUGGUGGAGGUGUGCGGCGGCCACAUGCUCGUGUGCGGGCGCGACGCGCGCGACUACGGCGUGCGCGAGCUGCGCCGGCUCUUCUCGAUGAUCCCGCAGGACCCGCUGCUGUUCGAGGGCACGGUGCGCAGCAACGUGGACCCCUUUGGCUGCUGCGGCGACGCGGCGGUGUGGCGCGCGCUGCGGCAGGUGGGGAUGGAGGAGCGCGUGCGCGGCGAGGCGGGCGGGCUGGACGGGCGCGUGCAGGAGGGCGGCGCAAACUACAGCGUGGGCCAGCGCCAGCUGCUGUGCCUGGCGCGCGCGCUGCUCAAGCGCGGCAGCGCCUUCCUGCUCAUGGACGAGGCAACCGCAAACGUCGACCCCGCGCUCGACCGCCAGAUCCAGCGCACGGUGCAGCACACCUUUCGCGACUACACCGUCGUCACCAUCGCGCACCGCCUGCACACCGUCGCCGCCUGCGACGUCAUCCUCGUCAUGGACCAGGGCCGCGUUCUCGAGUUCGGCUCGCCGCGCGAGCUGGUGGAGCGCCAGGGAUCCGCUUUCGGCGCGCUGGUGAGGUCGCUCGGCCGUGAUGGUGAACAGCUUUUCAGGGAGGCGAUGCGAAGUGCUUUAGCAGAGUAGCGGAUGAGGAGACGCACCAGCUGGGCCUGCGAGCGAGUGGUGACGUGUGGCGCUUUACUUUGUGUGUGUGUGUGUGUGUGUGUUGCAGUGAAGCACUUUCGCUGGCGUGGGGGAAUACGGCGAGAGCUGCCUCGGCGAUGGUUGAGUGCGGUGCAUGACGAUGCUC